This 704-nucleotide long non-coding RNA is filed under the name Parus major (Great Tit). RNAcentral's name for it is "lncRNA (ENSPMJG00000019836.1)". The record is from RNAcentral. Lineage: Eukaryota; Metazoa; Chordata; Aves; Passeriformes; Paridae.
UUUUUGUUUUUUUCUUGGUGGUUUUUUUUUUCUACAUUUCCUAUUAGUGGCUUCAGAUUUUUCUUUUAUUUUCUGAAAUGAUGCAGAUUUAUUUUACCUGAGGGAAUACAGCUGAUUCCUGUUGGCAAUUAGCCUCCCCACCACCCGGGGGUAGGGGUUAUUUAGCUCAGUUACUUUUGGAGGCCUAUUAAAAGCAGGACAGAGCUGGAUUCUAGUGCAUGAAGGAAAAAGUACUGCUAAUGUAUUGAAAAGGGUAUUUUUUUAAACUUAUAAUAUUCUUUAUUUUGCUUUAAAAUGAAGUAUCUAGUAAGUUUUCUAAAAAAAUACAAACCUCGUGAGGAUGUUGGAAAAUCCUUCUGACUCCAGUGCUUGUUGGCAGAGCUUCUGAUGGAUAUUCUUAUCUUUGAAUAUAGUUCUAGAAAGCCUGGAUAAAAAAUAUGGAAUCUGUUUCAUGUGCUGCUAGUAAGAGUAAGAUGUUGUUUGCAUCCUUUCCUCAAAGGUAAGAUACUUGUCAGAAAGCAAAAAAAAAUGUUUGUAAAAUUCAUGUGGUAACAAAGAGGAAGUUCAGUACGGAUGGAGUUGAAAAUUUGAGCUAACUCAUCAAUGGGACAUUAAGAUUUGGAUCAUUAUCUGGCAGAGUUUAGGCUUUUCAGACUGGACCAGCAGUUCUUGUUUUGUCAUGGGUUAAAUGAGAGCUUGUUUAU